AACUUUUUUGAAUUCAUGCAAAGAUUUCGUCAGACACCGACCCAUUAGGGCUGAUUAGACUUCCAAGAUAAGUGAAGUU
Non-coding RNA from Schistosoma rodhaini, 79 nucleotides. Lineage: Eukaryota; Metazoa; Platyhelminthes; Trematoda; Strigeidida; Schistosomatidae. The record is from Rfam.